AGCUAAUACCGGAUAGGAUCUUCUCCUUCAUGGGAGAUGAUUGAAAGAUGGUUUCGGCUAUCACUUACAGAUGGGCCCGCGGUGCAUUAGCUAGUUGGUGAGGUAACGGCUCACCAAGGCAACGAUGCAUAGCCGACCUGAGAGGGUGAUCGGCCACACUGGGACUGAGACACGGCCCAGACUCCUACGGGAGGCAGCAGUAGGGAAUCUUCCGCAAUGGACGAAAGUCUGACGGAGCAACGCCGCGUGAGUGAUGAAGGCUUUCGGGUCGUAAAACUCUGUUGUUAGGGAAGAACAAGUACRAGAGUAACUGCUYGUACCUUGACGGUACCUAACCAGAAAGCCACGGCUAACUACGUGCCAGCAGCCGCGGUAAUACGUAGGUGGCAAGCGUUAUCCGGAAUUAUUGGGCGUAAAGCGCGCGCAGGCGGUUUCUUAAGUCUGAUGUGAAAGCCCACGGCUCAACCGUGGAGGGUCAUUGGAAACUGGGGAACUUGAGUGCAGAAGAGAAAAGCGGAAUUCCACGUGUAGCGGUGAAAUGCGUAGAGAUGUGGAGGAACACCAGUGGCGAAGGCGGCUUUUUGGUCUGUAACUGACGCUGAGGCGCGAAAG
Molecule: ribosomal RNA, 612 nt
Filed under: Bacillus sp. (in: firmicutes)
Lineage: Bacteria; Bacillati; Bacillota; Bacilli; Caryophanales; Bacillaceae
Description: bacterial SSU rRNA
Rfam family: Bacterial small subunit ribosomal RNA
Source: RNAcentral